CGGGUGAGUAACACGUGAGGAACCUGCCCCGAAGACCGGGAUAACAGCGGGAAACCGCUGCUAAUACCGGAUACCCCCAUCGGAUCACAUGGCCUGAUGAGGAAAUGGAUUCCGCUUCGGGAGGGCCUCGCGGCCUAUCAGCUUGUUGGUGAGGUGACGGCUCACCAAGGCGACGACGGGUAGCUGGUCUGAGAGGACGAUCAGCCACACUGGGACUGAGACACGGCCCAGACUCCUACGGGAGGCAGCAGUGGG
RNAcentral lists this ribosomal RNA (255 nucleotides) under uncultured Acidimicrobiales bacterium. RNAcentral's name for it is "partial 16S ribosomal RNA". It matches the Rfam family "Bacterial small subunit ribosomal RNA", at positions 103 to 358 of the family's 1533-position model. The record is from RNAcentral. Lineage: Bacteria; Bacillati; Actinomycetota; Acidimicrobiia; Acidimicrobiales.